This 1663-nucleotide long non-coding RNA is filed under the name Olea europaea (common olive). RNAcentral describes it as "long non-coding RNA (OEUR_LNC008963)". The record is from RNAcentral. Lineage: Eukaryota; Viridiplantae; Streptophyta; Magnoliopsida; Lamiales; Oleaceae.
UUUUAUGAUGCAAUUAUAUUUAGUUUUAAAAGUGUUACCAAAUCUCAAAAUUUCUCAAUGUUUUAAUAGAGUUAAAAUUUUCAGAAAAUAUGCAUAAAUAGAAAAAGUAUACUUAUUUGCAAAUUAUUUACUCACUGAGCUAUAAGCUUAUAUUUGUUUCACCCUUUCUCUUUGUAAGAUAGCAAUCGAGUUGAGAAGUUUUGGAGCUUUUCGAUCCACCGAGGUGAGCCACAUACAUGGUCAUUAGUUAUAUGACCCAUUUUGUCAAUUUAUUUAGUGCAUAUUUCUUUUGAGGUAAAUAUAGUUUUUGUUAUAAAAGCUUAUCAUGGGCUCACUACAUAUUCGAUUUCUUUGGUACAUUUGAGGACUUUUGGCUGUAGAACAAAGUAAAUAUUGAUUUUCCAGCAUAUUAUUUUGAAUAGUUUGUAUUUUGAGGAACUAGUGUACUCUGAUUUAUAUUAUAAGUAUUGAUUUGUGGAAAUUGGUUAUUAUUCAGAAGGUUUUAGUUCAUAUUUUAGGGAAAACUUUGUCAAAAUUUUGUUAAAUUUAUUUUUCAAUCAAGCAAGUCAAAGAUACCUUGGUGGUAGGUUCGGAGUUUAGCUGGUAUCUACCAUCGGCGCACGACAUGUGUCAAGUCUACUAAGGUGAUUCGGAAUGGGUCAAGAUGUGCAUGGCAGUUUUAAAUCUAUUGUUGAAAAAUUCUUUAAUGCUCACAUACGUACUCUGAUUAUAUUUGUCUUGCCUCUUUCAUAUCAGAUAAUGGCAUUUUGCAACUUGCUACACCUCAUCGCACACUAUAGUACAAUGACUUCUCUAAACGCCCCGACACAAUCACAUUGUAGAAAUCAGUCUUGUACUCUACCAUGUGUCUGUCUUAAUCUUAUUAUGGUGUCUUGUUAAGCACAAUCUUGUAUCUCAUAAAUCAUAUGUCCACGUCUAUUCUAGCCAUAAAUCCCCAGCAGAGUUAAAGACUAGUGCUUAGAUUAUGCUAAACUCGAUGUUUGUUAUCUUUGAUAGUCGUGGUUAAAAACAUAGACUGACGACAAGUUAUAACCUCCGUCACGUCCAUUGUAUUUUUUGGAUAAUCUCUCCCCAAAGUCGUUGUACUAUAUUGUUGCUAAUCGGAUGUAAAUUUCUCGUCAUGUCAACUUCAUCAAAUCUGCAUUCCCAUUUGAUUCAUGAACAACCACUGGUAUUAUUGUUUUCAUUGCCGACUCAUCUCAUAUUUCCCAUCCCAAUUUAUAUCCUUACCCAUUCUGCCAAGCUCUCAACUUUUUCCACAAGUAAGCUCUGUUAGAGUUCGGGUAUGGCUGAAAUUCUAAUGAGAAUUCUAUUGGGAGUUGGUAGUAUGCCUUGAAAAAGUCUUGAAGAAGUCAAAGAGGUAUAAGGAGAAAUAAUCACGUGAAGACGACUCGCCAACCUCACAGAUGUCGUUCAAGCAAAAAUUGCAAUAACUUCAUGGCUUGCUAACCAUGCCAGGUGCUCGAGUGGUGGCCAGUAGAUGCAUAGCUUGUGAGCUACGUGACCACCGCUCGAGUGAUGGUGUUAUUCGAUGCAAACCCUAGUCGCAAUUUUGGUAGUUUUUACAUUCAUAUUCCACCUCAAAUACUAAAUUAUUUGUUAGACUUAUUAUAUUAGUACACCACCAUAUGUUAUGCUCUUC